CACACUAAUCGCUCGGACCAGUUUUGUAUCUUUGGACAUCAAUGUUCAAUUGCUGGCGACCGUCUUAACUCUAAUGGCCAUAAUGCCUAUUUGGGAUGAAACUCCACUCACUUCAGGGCGCACGGUACGUCAGGAUUCUUCACUGCGCCACUUGGGCCACCAAGUCAGCCCAGAACGUUCCAUAAUCCUUCAAAACAGUGCCGCUGGAACAUAAAUAUUUUUCAUACUUCCGAUUACGUUACUUCCGGUGACAAAUAAAGCUAUCCGACUACCUACGGUUAACGUCCGAUGAAAAUUCGUAGCAGUCGCCAAGUUUUCUCUACGUUUUACGUUUAAAUUGGACAAGAGGAAGUUACCAGUGUUGGCGUGAAUCCGUUUGCCACGUUAAACGAGUCAACUUACGUAAAGUACACUUGACCCUGAGAAUUAUGAGGAGCGUUCCAAAUGAGUGUGGCCUGCUGU
This is a long non-coding RNA of Cephus cinctus (wheat stem sawfly), 462 nucleotides long. RefSeq lists it as uncharacterized. The transcript has 4 exons. Lineage: Eukaryota; Metazoa; Arthropoda; Insecta; Hymenoptera; Cephidae. The record is from RefSeq and is a predicted model, not a curated record.